This 305-nucleotide ribosomal RNA is filed under the name uncultured bacterium. Its description in RNAcentral is "bacterial SSU rRNA". It matches the Rfam family "Bacterial small subunit ribosomal RNA", at positions 334 to 655 of the family's 1533-position model. The record is from RNAcentral.
CUUGCCUACGGGGGGCAGCAGUGGGGGAUAUUGCACAAUGGGGGGAACCCUGAUGCAGCGACGCCGCGUGGGUGAAGGAGUAUUUCGGUAUGUAAAGCCCUAUCGGCAGGGAAGAAGCAAGACGGUACCUGACUAAGAAGCCCCGGCUAACUACGUGCCAGCAGCCGCGGUAAUACGUAGGGGGCGAGCGUUAUCCGGAUUCACUGGGUGUAAAGGGAGCGUAGACGGCCAAGCAAGCCAGGGGUGAAAGCCCGGGGCCCAACCCCGGGACUGCCCUUGGAACUGCUUGGCUGGAGUGCGGGAGG